CCUACGGGAGGCAGCAGUAGGGAAUCUUCCACAAUGCGCGAAAGCCUGAUGGAGCAACGCCGCGUGGGUGAAGAAGGUCUUCGGAUCGUAAAACCCUGUUGUUAGAGAAGAAAGUGCGUAAGAGUAACUGUUCACGUUUCGACGGUAUCUAACCAGACAGCCACGGCUAACUACGUGCCAGCAGCCGCGGUAAUACGUAGGUGGCAAGCGUUAUCCGGAUUUAUUGGGCGUAAAGGGAACGCAGGCGGUGUUGUAAGUCAGAUGUGAAAGCCUUGGGCUUAACCGGAGUAGUGCAUGGGAUACUGGGAGACUUGAGUGCAGAAGAGGAGUGGGGAACUCCAUGUGUAGCGGUGAAAUGCGUAGAUAUAUGGAAGAAUACCAGUGGCGAAGGCGGCUCUCUGGUCUGUAACUGACGCUGAGGUUCGAAAGCGUGGGUAGCAAACAGGAUUAGAUACCCUGGUAGUC
This 465-nucleotide ribosomal RNA is filed under the name uncultured bacterium. RNAcentral describes it as "partial 16S ribosomal RNA". It matches the Rfam family "Bacterial small subunit ribosomal RNA", at positions 338 to 795 of the family's 1533-position model. The record is from RNAcentral.